This 433-nucleotide ribosomal RNA is filed under the name uncultured bacterium. RNAcentral describes it as "partial 16S ribosomal RNA". It matches the Rfam family "Bacterial small subunit ribosomal RNA", at positions 29 to 507 of the family's 1533-position model. The record is from RNAcentral.
AACGAACGCUGGCGGCAUGCCUAACACAUGCAAGUCGAACGAGACCUUCGGGUCUAGUGGCGCACGGGUGCGUAACGCGUGGGAACCUGCCCUUAGGUUCGGAAUAACUCAGAGAAAUUUGAGCUAAUACCGGAUAAUGUCUUCGGACCAAAGAUUUAUCGCCUUUGGAUGGGCCCGCGUAGGAUUAGCUUGUUGGUGGGGUAAUGGCCUACCAAGGCGACGAUCCUUAGCUGGUCUGAGAGGAUGAUCAGCCACACUGGGACUGAGACACGGCCCAGACUCCUACGGGAGGCAGCAGUGGGGAAUAUUGGACAAUGGGCGAAAGCCUGAUCCAGCAAUGCCGCGUGAGUGAUGAAGGCCUGAGGGUUGUAAAGCUCUUUUACCAGGGAUGAUAAUGACAGUACCUGGAGAAUAAGCUCCGGCUAACUCCGUG